CCUACGGGGGGCUGCAGUGAGGAAUCUUGCGCAAUGGGGGCAACCCUGACGCAGCAACGCCGCGUGAGUGAGGAAGGCCUUCGGGUCGUAAAGCUCUGUCGGAUGGAAAGAAACGGAUGCGGGUUAAUAGCCUUCAUCCCUGACGGUACCAUCAGAGGAAGCACCGGCUAACUCCGUGCCAGCAGCCGCGGUAAUACGGGGGGUGCAAGCGUUGUUCGGAAUCAUUGGGCGUAAAGCGCGUGUAGGCGGCUUGGUAAGUCAGGUGUGAAAGCCCUGGGCUCAACCCAGGAAGUGCACUUGAAACUGCCUUGCUUGAGUACGGGAGAGGAAAGCGGAAUUCCUGGUGUAGAGGUGAAAUUCGUAGAUAUCAGGAGGAACACCGGUGGCGAAGGCGGCUUUCUGGCCCAAUACUGACGCUGAGACGCGAAAGCGUGGGGAGCAAACAGGAUUAGAUACCCCAGUAGUC
This 466-nucleotide ribosomal RNA is filed under the name uncultured delta proteobacterium. RNAcentral's name for it is "bacterial SSU rRNA". It matches the Rfam family "Bacterial small subunit ribosomal RNA", at positions 338 to 795 of the family's 1533-position model. Lineage: Bacteria; Deltaproteobacteria. The record is from RNAcentral.